This 376-nucleotide ribosomal RNA is filed under the name uncultured bacterium. RNAcentral's name for it is "bacterial SSU rRNA". It matches the Rfam family "Bacterial small subunit ribosomal RNA", at positions 524 to 898 of the family's 1533-position model. The record is from RNAcentral.
UACAGAGGGUGCGAGCGUUGUUCGGAAUUAUUGGGCGUAAAGCGCAUGUAGGCGGCUUGUUAAGUCACGUGUGAAAGCCCCAGGCUCAACCUGGGAAGUGCGCGUGAAACUGGCGAGCUUGAAUCCUGGAGAGGGUGGCGGAAUUCCCGGUGUAGAGGUGAAAUUCGUAGAUAUCGGGAGGAACACCAGAGGCGAAGGCGGCCACCUGGACAGAGAUUGACGCUGAGACGCGAAAGCGUGGGGAGCAAACAGGAUUAGAUACCCUGGUAGUCCACGCUGUAAACGAUGAGUGCUAGCUGUGGCGGGUUUUGACCCCUGCCGUGGCGACGCUAACGCAAUAAGCACUCCGCCUGGGGAGUACGGCCGCAAGGCUAAA